This 1474-nucleotide ribosomal RNA is filed under the name Enterococcus durans. RNAcentral's name for it is "bacterial SSU rRNA". It matches the Rfam family "Bacterial small subunit ribosomal RNA". The record is from RNAcentral. Lineage: Bacteria; Bacillati; Bacillota; Bacilli; Lactobacillales; Enterococcaceae.
CGCUGGCGGCGUGCCUAAUACAUGCAAGUCGUACGCUUCUUUUUCCACCGGAGCUUGCUCCACCGGAAAAAGAAGAGUGGCGAACGGGUGAGUAACACGUGGGUAACCUGCCCAUCAGAAGGGGAUAACACUUGGAAACAGGUGCUAAUACCGUAUAACAAUCGAAACCGCAUGGUUUUGAUUUGAAAGGCGCUUUCGGGUGUCGCUGAUGGAUGGACCCGCGGUGCAUUAGCUAGUUGGUGAGGUAACGGCUCACCAAGGCCACGAUGCAUAGCCGACCUGAGAGGGUGAUCGGCCACAUUGGGACUGAGACACGGCCCAAACUCCUACGGGAGGCAGCAGUAGGGAAUCUUCGGCAAUGGACGAAAGUCUGACCGAGCAACGCCGCGUGAGUGAAGAAGGUUUUCGGAUCGUAAAACUCUGUUGUUAGAGAAGAAUAAGGAUGAGAGUAACUGUUCAUCCCUUGACGGUAUCUAACCAGAAAGCCACGGCUAACUACGUGCCAGCAGCCGCGGUAAUACGUAGGUGGCAAGCGUUGUCCGGAUUUAUUGGGCGUAAAGCGAGCGCAGGCGGUUUCUUAAGUCUGAUGUGAAAGCCCCCGGCUCAACCGGGGAGGGUCAUUGGAAACUGGGAGACUUGAGUGCAGAAGAGGAGAGUGGAAUUCCAUGUGUAGCGGUGAAAUGCGUAGAUAUAUGGAGGAACACCAGUGGCGAAGGCGGCUCUCUGGUCUGUAACUGACGCUGAGGCUCGAAAGCGUGGGGAGCAAACAGGAUUAGAUACCCUGGUAGUCCACGCCGUAAACGAUGAGUGCUAAGUGUUGGAGGGUUUCCGCCCUUCAGUGCUGCAGCUAACGCAUUAAGCACUCCGCCUGGGGAGUACGACCGCAAGGUUGAAACUCAAAGGAAUUGACGGGGGCCCGCACAAGCGGUGGAGCAUGUGGUUUAAUUCGAAGCAACGCGAAGAACCUUACCAGGUCUUGACAUCCUUUGACCACUCUAGAGAUAGAGCUUCCCCUUCGGGGGCAAAGUGACAGGUGGUGCAUGGUUGUCGUCAGCUCGUGUCGUGAGAUGUUGGGUUAAGUCCCGCAACGAGCGCAACCCUUAUUGUUAGUUGCCAUCAUUCAGUUGGGCACUCUAGCAAGACUGCCGGUGACAAACCGGAGGAAGGUGGGGAUGACGUCAAAUCAUCAUGCCCCUUAUGACCUGGGCUACACACGUGCUACAAUGGGAAGUACAACGAGUCGCGAAGUCGCGAGGCUAAGCUAAUCUCUUAAAGCUUCUCUCAGUUCGGAUUGUAGGCUGCAACUCGCCUACAUGAAGCCGGAAUCGCUAGUAAUCGCGGAUCAGCACGCCGCGGUGAAUACGUUCCCGGGCCUUGUACACACCGCCCGUCACACCACGAGAGUUUGUAACACCCGAAGUCGGUGAGGUAACCUUUUGGAGCCAGCCGCCUAAGGUGGGAUAGAUGAUUGGGG